GCUUUAAUACAUGCAAGUCGUCGGGUAAGGAUCCUUCGGGAUCCUAGAGCGGCGUACGGGUGAGUAACACGUAUGUAAUCUGCCCCUAUCUGGGAGAUAGCCCUUCGAAAGGAGGAUUAAUAUCCCAUAAUAUAUUUGGAUGGCAUCAUUUGAAUAUUAAAGCUCCGGCGGAUAGGGAUGAGCAUGCGUCCUAUUAGUUAGUUGGUGAGGUAACGGCUCACCAAGACAUCGAUAGGUAGCUGGUCUGAGAGGAUGAUCAGCCACACGGGCACUGAGACACGGGCCCGACUCCUACGGGAGGCAGCAGUAGGGAAUAUUGGGCAAUGGAGGCAACUCUGACCCAGCCAUCCCGCGUGCAGGAUGAAGGAUCUAUGGUUCGUAAACUGCUUUUGUUAGGGAAGAAAAAGGCUUAUUUAUAAGCC
Molecule: ribosomal RNA, 422 nt
Filed under: uncultured bacterium
Lineage: Bacteria
Description: bacterial SSU rRNA
Rfam family: Bacterial small subunit ribosomal RNA
Source: RNAcentral